UAGAGUUGUCUUAAGUUAAACUAUUUAAAAUUUAACAAACUUUAUAGAGUAUCAACAUCUAUGAAACUAGAUAAGAAAAUAUUUCAUUAUGUAUCUAAUGAAACUUAUUUGGUGUCACAAAUAUAAGUGCUCUUUUCUAUAAUUUGAGUUAAACUUAGGAUAGUUUGACUUCGAACAACUCGAA
RNAcentral lists this microRNA precursor (184 nucleotides) under Sorghum bicolor (sorghum). Its description in RNAcentral is "MIR1435 microRNA precursor family". It matches the Rfam family "MIR1435 microRNA precursor family". Lineage: Eukaryota; Viridiplantae; Streptophyta; Magnoliopsida; Poales; Poaceae. The record is from Rfam by way of RNAcentral.